Molecule: long non-coding RNA, 1669 nt
Filed under: Anas platyrhynchos platyrhynchos (common mallard)
Lineage: Eukaryota; Metazoa; Chordata; Aves; Anseriformes; Anatidae
Description: lncRNA (ENSAPLG00000018887.1)
Source: RNAcentral
GGGAAUAGGCAGUUUAUAUAUAGGGCAGAUUUCCUGGAAGCCAGAAAUUAAUGUUUUUUAUUUAGACUUUUAGUAGAAUUACCAUGAGGAAUGAAAAUCUGUCAGACUAUCUUGCAGAAAAAUACAUGUGUGAAUCUACCUGAGUAAAAACCCUGUCCAAACUUUUUCCUCAGUUUCCCUUUGCCACCAAGCACUGAAUACCUUCCACCUCAGCCUACUGUUCUGGGGAGCUGACUCUGCGGUGGCACACGGACCAGUGCAGGAGCUGCUGGUGUCCUGAGCCCAAUAGUUGAGAAAUCUGAUCUCAGUGGGAUUACGGGAAAUGAUACUUAAAAUAUCAGUGGUAUCUGGAAUUAGGUCUCCUAACACUGGCCACCCCAGUGGAGCUGCGAUGGGAUCUGCAACCAGGGAGCCUGAGGACUUUUAAUCUGGCCAUGUUUGCACAGUGCGGGUCAGCCCAGAGGAAGAGCUGCUCUGACGUUUACUGAAGACCACAAUCAAGCUUCUGCAUGAUCAGUGGACAUUGGCAGCGAGGCUGAGCUGUGGCUGGCUUCCUUUGUACAUUCCUCCUGCACAAGAUGGUGUACUACAAAUGUGUAUUGAGCAGUAGGACAGAUCACCUCCAAGUGAGCGAACUCAGAGAAGUUUGGAGGCUUGUCCCUAACCACAUGCUGGCUCUAUGGUUCCCCUGAGGCAGAGCCAAGUCAAGAGUGCAGCCAGUCAUCCCUCAGACCGCUGCCACGUGCUCAAGUCAAACUGCUACAGACACCAAGAUGGUCUCCAGCACAGGGAUGCCCAAACUGUGCUCAGCAGACCUAAGGCUAUGUGAGGAUGGUUGGCCUGAUGAACUAAUGUUCAUUUCCAUUUUUGAGGAAUGCGGCUGAUGAAAGUAAGAUAAAACUAAGAGCAAAAGAAAAGCUUAAGGAAGUCAAAAAAGCAUGCAUAUUUUUAUAACAAUUCUUCCGUGCAUUAGUGGCUGUACCAGCAACAGAGGUAUAAUGUGAUCUGCGUUGAAAAGGAACAGGACUUGACAUUGAGUGAGAAAAGAAGUCACAGUAUGAUCUCUGUGUGGUGGUGUUAUCAAAAGUACUGAACAAACAACAUGGUGAGCAGUGGGACUCGAGGUGGGACACCUUUCCUGCACAGGCUUUCUACUGCCUGGCACCCAUACUGCUCUCUCCGUAUGGACCUUUCCUCAGCUGAUUUGGACAUCUCUUGUAGUCAUUAAGUUGGAGAACAUAAAUAUUGUUGGUGUCUCAAUCUCUUGUUAUAUUCAGCUGAAGUUGAUCUAUGGUUACAAAUGUUAGAGCGAGAUGAGGUGAGCCAGCUUUCUUCAAGAAGCCAAGAUAAAAGGGGUAAGACUGUCAGCCAAAAAAAUAGGGAAAGUUAAACUUCACAUAUCUCUCUGAUGAAAAACAAGCACAAUAUAUCUUUCAGAAAGAAAAACAAAACAAUGGUGCUCUGUGUUGUUAAGCAUUUUACAGAUACUUGUAAGAGUUCUGGUCAAAGUUAUUCUAGAAUAUCACAUAUUCUCUUGCAGUAAUGUUGAUGCCAGUUCCAAUGAGUGUAUCCCAAAUGUGACAAUCUUGAAUCUUGGCCUUUUUUGUACAACCACAGUUCUGUCAGAGUAUCAGAGUGCUUUCUUUGUUUAAAAAAAAAAAAAAAAAAA